UUAUAUUUUGAUGUAGAGGCAUAUAAAGUUUUGAUCUUUGAGGCGUUGGUGUAAUUCCAACAAAUAUA
RNAcentral lists this transfer RNA (68 nucleotides) under Saron marmoratus. RNAcentral's name for it is "tRNA-Gln". The record is from RNAcentral. Lineage: Eukaryota; Metazoa; Arthropoda; Malacostraca; Decapoda; Hippolytidae.